RNAcentral lists this small nucleolar RNA (69 nucleotides) under Carlito syrichta (Philippine tarsier). The record is from RNAcentral. Lineage: Eukaryota; Metazoa; Chordata; Mammalia; Primates; Tarsiidae.
ACUCAGUGAUGAAACCUUUGUCCAGUUCUGUGACUGACUUUAAGUGAUGAUAAAGUAUGUCUGAGGAGU